RNAcentral lists this transfer RNA (75 nucleotides) under Acidobacteriota bacterium. RNAcentral describes it as "Acidobacteria bacterium (soil metagenome) tRNA-Asp". It matches the Rfam family "tRNA". From Rfam's summary of the family: Transfer RNA (tRNA) molecules are approximately 80 nucleotides in length. Their secondary structure includes four short double-helical elements and three loops (D, anti-codon, and T loops). RNAcentral also lists the same sequence under 1 other name. Lineage: Bacteria; Pseudomonadati; Acidobacteriota. The record is from RNAcentral.
GGGAUUGAAGCACAAAGGCUGUGCGUCCGAUUGUCUAUCGGAAAGGUGCGAGUUCGAUUCUCGUCAGUCCCGCCA